RNAcentral lists this ribosomal RNA (465 nucleotides) under uncultured bacterium. RNAcentral's name for it is "bacterial SSU rRNA". It matches the Rfam family "Bacterial small subunit ribosomal RNA", at positions 338 to 795 of the family's 1533-position model. The record is from RNAcentral.
CCUACGGGAUGCAGCAGUGGGGAAUAUUGCACAAUGGGCGAAAGCCUGAUGCAGCCAUGCCGCGUGUAUGAAGAAGGCCUUCGGGUUGUAAAGUACUUUCAGCGGGGAGGAAGGUGUUGUGGUUAAUAACCACAGCAAUUGACGUUACCCGCAGAAGAAGCACCGGCUAACUCCGUGCCAGCAGCCGCGGUAAUACGGAGGGUGCAAGCGUUAAUCGGAAUUACUGGGCGUAAAGCGCACGCAGGCGGUCUGUCAAGUCGGAUGUGAAAUCCCCGGGCUCAACCUGGGAACUGCAUUCGAAACUGGCAGGCUAGAGUCUUGUAGAGGGGGGUAGAAUUCCAGGUGUAGCGGUGAAAUGCGUAGAGAUCUGGAGGAAUACCGGUGGCGAAGGCGGCUCUCUGGUCUGUAACUGACGCUGAGGCGCGAAAGCGUGGGGAGCAAACAGGAUUAGAUACCCGGGUAGUC